RNAcentral lists this long non-coding RNA (902 nucleotides) under Pan troglodytes (chimpanzee). Its description in RNAcentral is "long non-coding RNA NONPTRT016002". Lineage: Eukaryota; Metazoa; Chordata; Mammalia; Primates; Hominidae. The record is from RNAcentral.
UGAUGCUGGAGAACUACAGCCACCUGCUCUCUGUGGGGUGUCAAGUCAGCAAACCAGCUGUGAUCUCCAGUUUGGAGCAGGGGAAGGAGCCAUGGAUGGAGGAGGAAGAGAUAAGGACGUGGAGCUUCCCAGGUGAGCGGGUGGCCUGCAGGGGGCCGGGGGAUGAGGCUCCUGGAAGUCUGCAAAGCAGAACCCGUGGAUGUUGUCUUGUUUUGUUUUUUGAGAUGGAGUCUCACUCAGUUGCCCAGGCUGGAGUGCAGUGGCGCCAUGUCAGCUCAUUGCAACCUCCACCUCCCAGGUUCAAGCCAUUCUCCUGCCUCAGCCUCUUGAGUAGCAGGGAUUACAGGCGCCUGCCACCAUGAGUGACUUAUUUUGUAUUUUUAGUAGAGACCGGGUUUCACCAUGUUGGUCAGGCUGGUUUCAAACUCCUGAACUCAGGUGAUCCACCUGCCUUGGCCUCCCAAAGUGCUGGGAUUACAGGUGUGAGCCAUGGCGCCUGGCCGGAUGUCCUCUUGUUUCAGGCAACUGUUCUUAAAAGCCUGGGAUUUUGGCUGGGCGUGCCGUUUGUUGUUGUUUUCAUCUUUUUCUUUCACUGUGAAAUGCCUCAAAAACAUCUUUGCCACACGUAAAAUUUAGUCCCCUUUCUCUUCUUCAUACCCAGAAACUGGAGAAAGCUAUUCCUGUCCUUUAGUGUACUUAAUGACUAUUUUUGAGAUGGAGUCUCACUCUGUCUGCCAGACUGGAGUGUAGUGGCGUGAUCUCGGCUCACUGCAACCUCUGCCUCCCGAGUAGCUGGGACUACAGGCGUGCACCACCACACCUGGCUAAUUUUUGUAUUUUUAGUGGAGAUCCUGUUUCACCAUGUUGGCCAGGAUGGUCUCGAUCUCCUGACCUCGUGAUCC